Molecule: ribosomal RNA, 535 nt
Filed under: uncultured bacterium
Lineage: Bacteria
Description: partial 16S ribosomal RNA
Rfam family: Bacterial small subunit ribosomal RNA
Source: RNAcentral
UGGGGAAUAUUGGACAAUGGGGGCAACCCUGAUCCAGCCAUGCCGCGUGAGUGAUGAAGGCCUUCGGGUUGUAAAGCUCUUUUGACGGGGACGAUGAUGACGGUACCCGCAGAAUAAGCCCCGGCUAACUUCGUGCCAGCAGCCGCGGUAAGACGAAGGGGGCUAGCGUUGUUCGGAAUUACUGGGCGUAAAGCGAGUGUAGGCGGUUGCCGUAGUCAGGUGUGAAAGCCUUGAGCUCAACUCAAGAAAUGCACUUGAUACUGGGUGACUAGAGGACCGGAGAGGAUAGUGGAAUUCCCAGUGUAGUGGUGAAAUACGUAGAGAUUGGGAAGAACACCAGUGGCGAAGGCGGCUAUCUGGACGGUUACUGACGCUAAGACUCGAAAGCGUGGGGAGCAAACAGGAUUAGAUACCCUGGUAGUCCACGCCGUAAACGAUGGGUGCUAGACGUUGGCGAGCUUGCUCGUCAGUGUCGCAGCUAACGCGUUAAGCACCCCGCCUGGGGAGUACGGCCGCAAAGGGUUUGAAAAACUUU